GAUGAAGAACGUAGCGAAAUGCGAUAAGUAGUGUGAAUUGCAGAAUUCAGUGAAUCAUCGAAUCUUUGAACGCACAUUGCGCCCCAUGGUAUUCCGUGGGGCAUGCCUGUUCGAGCGUCAUUUACCCCCUCAAGCUCCGCUUGGUGUUGGGCGUCUGUCCCGCUUCGCGCGCGGACUCGCCCCAAAGGUUUUGGCAGCGGUCGUGCCAGCUUCUCGCGCAGCACAUUGCGCUUCUCGAGGCACCGGUGGGCCCGCGUCCAUCAAGCUCACCCCCCCAGUUUGACCUCGGAUCAGGUAGGGAUACCCGCUGAACUUAAGCAUAUCAAUAAGCGGAGGA
This 337-nucleotide unclassified non-coding RNA is filed under the name soil metagenome. RNAcentral describes it as "partial contains 5.8S ribosomal RNA, internal transcribed spacer 2, and large subunit ribosomal RNA". The stretch from base 1 to 120 matches the Rfam family "5.8S ribosomal RNA", at positions 35 to 154 of the family's 154-position model. The record is from RNAcentral.